Pygocentrus nattereri (red-bellied piranha) is the source of this 536-nucleotide non-coding RNA. Lineage: Eukaryota; Metazoa; Chordata; Actinopteri; Characiformes; Serrasalmidae. The record is from the annotation of a RefSeq genome assembly.
AUGAAAACAAGGCUGAAGAGAGCGGCGUGUUUAGAGCAGGAGGUUUUUGUACAGCCAGUAAACCAGUUUGUAUCACUGUGGUACACUUUUGGUGGAGGAACCAAACUGUCAGUUGGAAGUGUGGCCGCGCCCACCCUCACGGUCCUGCCCCCCUCCAGCGUGGAGCUGCAGCAGGGGAAGGCCACACUCGUGUGUUUGGCCAACAAGGGCUUCCCCUCAGACUGGAGGCUGAGCUGGAAGGUGGACGGGAGCAUCUGGAGCUCGGGGGUUAGCCAGACCCCCGGGCUUCUGCAGAAGGACGACGGCCUCUACAGCUGGAGCAGCAUCCUGAUCCUCCAGGAGGACCAGUGGCUAAAGAAGACAGUGACCUGUGAGGCCACCAAGGACUCCCAGACUCCUGUCAGCCAAACCCUGAGGAGAGAGCAAUGCACUGGGCAGUGAGCGUGUGUUGGAGCUGCUAGAGCUCCUCUUGAUCUUCAGUGAGCUCAAUCAUGGCUCUGCUUAAUGCUCUGAUCUUCAUCAUCACUUCAUCAUCA